UCAACGUCAUAAACAUUUAACUUAGAUGUUUAUGACGUUGACAUCAACGUCAUAAACAUUCAACUUUGUUGUUUAUGACGUUGA
Non-coding RNA from Paramuricea clavata, 84 nucleotides. The record is from the annotation of a GenBank genome assembly. Lineage: Eukaryota; Metazoa; Cnidaria; Anthozoa; Malacalcyonacea; Plexauridae.